RNAcentral lists this ribosomal RNA (401 nucleotides) under uncultured bacterium. Its description in RNAcentral is "bacterial SSU rRNA". It matches the Rfam family "Bacterial small subunit ribosomal RNA", at positions 362 to 777 of the family's 1533-position model. The record is from RNAcentral.
UAUUGGGCAAUGGGCGCAAGCCUGACCCAGCAACGCCGCGUGAAGGAAGAAGGCUUUCGGGUUGUAAACUUCUUUUAAGAGGGACGAAANAAAUGACGGUACCUCUUGAAUAAGCUCCGGCUAACUACGUGCCAGCAGCCGCGGUAAUACGUAGGGAGCGAGCGUUAUCCGGAUUUACUGGGUGUAAAGGGCGUGUAGGCGGGAUGGCAAGUCAGGCGUGAAAACUAUGGGCUCAACCCAUAGCCUGCGUUUGAAACUGUCGUUCUUGAGUGAUGGAGAGGCAAGCGGAAUUCCGUGUGUAGCGGUGAAAUGCGUAGAUAUACGGAGGAACACCAGUGGCGAAGGCGGCUUGCUGGACAUUAACUGACGCUGAGGCGCGAAAGCGUGGGGAGCAAACAGGA